This 496-nucleotide ribosomal RNA is filed under the name uncultured bacterium. Its description in RNAcentral is "partial 16S ribosomal RNA". It matches the Rfam family "Bacterial small subunit ribosomal RNA", at positions 28 to 506 of the family's 1533-position model. The record is from RNAcentral.
GAUGAACGCUGGCGGCGUGCCUAAUACAUGCCAGUCGAGCGAACAGACGAGGAGCUUGCUCCUUUGACUUUAGCGUCGGACGGGUGAGUAACACGUGGAUAACCUUCCUAUAAGACUGGGAUAACUUCGGGAAACCGUAGCUAAUACCGGAUAACAUGUUUAACCGCAUGGUUCAACAGUUAAAGACGUUCUUGCUGUCACUUAUAGAUUGAUCCGCGCCGCAUUAGCUAGUUGGUAAGGUAACGGCUUACCAAGGCAACGAUGCGUAGCCGACCUGAGAGGGUGAUCGGCCAAACUGGAACUGAGAAACGGUCCAGACUCCUACGGGAGGCAGCAGUAGGGAAUCUUCCGCAAUGGGCGAAAGCCUGACGGAGCAACGCCGCGUGAGUGAAGAAGGUCUUCGGAUCGUAAAACUCUGUUAUUAGGGAAGAACAAAUGUGUAAGUAACUAUGCACGUCUUGACGGUACCUAAGCAGAAAGCCACGGCUAACUACGU